Molecule: long non-coding RNA, 237 nt
Organism: Eurytemora carolleeae
Lineage: Eukaryota; Metazoa; Arthropoda; Copepoda; Calanoida; Temoridae
Exons: 3
Source: RefSeq, a predicted model, not a curated record
AGAAACAGAAGAAUAAAUAAUUAAAAUGCCUGCACCACCUCCCAAACCUGUUAAAUGUGUUAGAAAGGGGUGUGGAAAGUGCCUGUACUGCAUGAAAAUUGUUGCACUUUGUGAGUGUACAGAGGAAGAUAAGAAAGGAGACCCUAAGGAUGUAAUGUAUGGCUGGUGCCAUAAAUGCCGAGAAAAGUACCCGGAUGAAUAUAAAAAUUUAGUCGGGUAAUAAAAGUAUAAUGUUUA